RNAcentral lists this long non-coding RNA (492 nucleotides) under Nicotiana benthamiana. Its description in RNAcentral is "long non-coding RNA (NBEN_LNC022352)". The record is from RNAcentral. Lineage: Eukaryota; Viridiplantae; Streptophyta; Magnoliopsida; Solanales; Solanaceae.
CCCUCUAGCUUGGUCAAAAUUGACUCUUUGUCUGAAAGAAGGAGAAGGAUUAGGCACUGUGGCCUUAUUGAAUCCAACUGAAUGUCUAUUAGUGUUGACAUUGAAAAAUAUAGAGUCUGAAUUAAACUGAGAAGGGGACUGGACUUGUCUCUGCUUCUCAUCAUUGAGGACCAUAUUAUAGACAUUGUCAAGGAUUGGAGGUGGCUGCAUCAUCAAUAAGUUACUCCUUACCCCCAUAUAUGCUUCAUUAAGGCCCAUUAGAAACUGAAACACCUUAUUCUCAUCAUUUUCCUGUAUUAUACCAUCUUUGGCAGCACAAAACACAUCUUUGCCCAUUAUUUGUACACAUUGAUUCUAAUUCAUCCCGCAGACCUUUAAGUUUAUUAAAAUAUGAAGCUACAUCUAGGGACCCUUGAGAGGUGUGAGAAAGCUCUCUUUUCAAUUAAAAAAUUUUGGACCUGUUGGCAGUGCCAUAUCUGGCCUGAAGCUGGG